AGCAGUCGCCGCGGGAAUACGAAGGGUGCAAGCGUUAAUCGGAAUUACUGGGCGUAAAGCGUGCGUAGGCGGUGAGUUAAGUCUGCUGUGAAAUCCCCGGGCUCAACCUGGGAAUGGCAGUGGAUACUGGCUCGCUAGAGUGUGUCAGAGGAUGGUGGAAUUCCCGGUGUAGCGGUGAAAUGCGUAGAGAUCGGAAGGAACAUCUGUGGCGAAGGCGACUAUCUGGGCCAACACUGACACUGAGGCACGAAAGCUAGGGGAGCAAACAGGAUUAGAUACCCGGGUAGUCCCUGUCUCUUAUAC
This 303-nucleotide ribosomal RNA is filed under the name uncultured bacterium. Its description in RNAcentral is "partial 16S ribosomal RNA". It matches the Rfam family "Bacterial small subunit ribosomal RNA", at positions 507 to 807 of the family's 1533-position model. The record is from RNAcentral.